RNAcentral lists this unclassified non-coding RNA (502 nucleotides) under Bombus terrestris (buff-tailed bumblebee). Its description in RNAcentral is "misc RNA ENSBTSG00005029188.1". Lineage: Eukaryota; Metazoa; Arthropoda; Insecta; Hymenoptera; Apidae. The record is from RNAcentral.
AAGCAGUACACGAAAUGUGUAUGACUCGCUUCUGUGUAAAAAGAAAACAAAGAAACGAGGAGAGAGCGAGUGUAACCAAGCGAAUCUAUAAUGAGAUUUCUGUUUUAUCUCGACUCCUUUAAAGACUCUCUUUUUACACGUUUCGCGCGGUGUGAUACGCACGCGAGACACGGGAUGAGUCACGCGAACACAUAUUAGGAUCUGUGCCAAGGAAUCGAUUGAUAGGGACAAUAAAGCUUAUGAUAGAGCGUACGAUACAUCACCGGUCGGGUGGCGAUCCGUUUGAUACUAAAUUUAUCAAUCGCUGUCUGCUAAGCGAAACUUGUGCACACAAGUGACGGAACCGAAGAGGAACGUGUGUCUAUUUGAACGUGAAAGAUCGUCACUUCACAGUUCCAAUAUGUAGAAACAUUUCGGAUUAUUCAUUUACAGAUUCAAUAGGAAAGCGAUAAAAUGGAAUUAUUAUUGAAAAUAUUAAGUGAUACUAAAAUAUAGAAUUCAG